UACGUAGGGUGCGAGCGUUGUCCGGAAUUACUGGGCGUAAAGAGCUCGUAGGUGGUUUGUCGCGUUGUUCGUGAAAACUCACAGCUCAACUGUGGGCGUGCGGGCGAUACGGGCAGACUAGAGUACUGCAGGGGAGACUGGAAUUCCUGGUGUAGCGGUGGAAUGCGCAGAUAUCAGGAGGAACACCGGUGGCGAAGGCGGGUCUCUGGGCAGUAACUGACGCUCAUGCACGAAAGCGUGGGGAGCAAACAGG
RNAcentral lists this ribosomal RNA (253 nucleotides) under uncultured bacterium. Its description in RNAcentral is "partial 16S ribosomal RNA". It matches the Rfam family "Bacterial small subunit ribosomal RNA", at positions 524 to 776 of the family's 1533-position model. The record is from RNAcentral.